RNAcentral lists this ribosomal RNA (295 nucleotides) under Oxyrhopus petolarius (forest flame snake). RNAcentral describes it as "partial 12S ribosomal RNA". The record is from RNAcentral. Lineage: Eukaryota; Metazoa; Chordata; Lepidosauria; Squamata; Dipsadidae.
AAAGACUUGACGGUACUUCACAACACCCUAGAGGAGCCUGUCUAAUAACCGAUAUUCCACGAUUAACCCCACCUGUCCCUAGCCUUACAGUCUAUAUACCGCCGUCGCCAGCUUACCUUGUGAAAGAAAUAAAGUAAGCAAAAUAAACCACCUUUAACACGACAGGUCAAGGUGUAACUAAUGAGCAGGCAAAAGAUGGGCUACAUUUUCUAACGCAGAAAACACGAAUCAAACCAUGAAACCACAACUGAAGGCGGAUUUAAUAGUAAGAUAAAAAUAGAAUGUUUAGCUGAAA